ACAGGUGCUGCAUGGCUGUCGUCAGCUCGUGUUGUGAAAUGUUGGGUUAAGUCCCGCAACGAGCGCAACCCUUAUCCUUUGUUGCCAGCGAUUCGGUCGGGAACUCAAAGGAGACUGCCGGUGAUAAACCGGAGGAAGGUGGGGAUGACGUCAAGUCAUCAUGGCCCUUACGAGUAGGGCUACACACGUGCUACAAUGGCGCAUACAAAGAGAAGCGACCUCGCGAGAGCAAGCGGACCUCACAAAGUGCGUCGUAGUCCGGAUCGGAGUCUGCAACUCGACUCCGUGAAGUCGGAAUCGCUAGUAAUCG
Molecule: ribosomal RNA, 310 nt
Filed under: Pantoea sp.
Lineage: Bacteria; Pseudomonadati; Pseudomonadota; Gammaproteobacteria; Enterobacterales; Erwiniaceae
Description: bacterial SSU rRNA
Rfam family: Bacterial small subunit ribosomal RNA
Source: RNAcentral